Molecule: ribosomal RNA, 832 nt
Filed under: uncultured bacterium
Lineage: Bacteria
Description: bacterial SSU rRNA
Rfam family: Bacterial small subunit ribosomal RNA
Source: RNAcentral
CGAUUCGCCCUUAGAGUUUGAUCUUGGCUCAGGACGAACGCUGGCGGCGUGCCUAAUACAUGCAAGUCGAGCGCGGGAAGCAAACUGAAGCCUUCGGGCGGACGUUUGUGGAACGAGCGGCGGAUGGGUGAGUAACACGUGGGCAACCUGCCUGUAAGAUUGGGAUAACUUGCGGAAACGUGAGCUAAUACCAAAUAAAGCUUCAUAUCACCUGAUGUGAAGGUGAAAGAUGGCUCCGGCUAUCACUUACAGAUGGGCCCGUGGCGCAUUAGCUAGUUGGUGGGAUAAAAGCUUACCAAGGCAACGAUGCGUAGCCGACCUGAGAGGGUGAUAGGCCACACUGGGGCUGAGACACGGCCCAGACUCCUACGGGAGGCAGCAGUAGGGAAUCUUCCGCAAUGGACGCAAGUCUGACGGAGCAACGCCGCGUGAGUGAUGAAGGUUUUCGGAUCGUAAAACUCUGUUGUUAGGGAAGAACAAGUACCGUUCGAAUAGGUCGGUACCUUGACGGUACCUAACCAGAAAGCCCCGGCUAACUACGUGCCAGCAGCCGCGGUAAUACGUAGGGGGCAAGCGUUGUCCGGAAUUAUUGGGCGUAAAGCGCGCGCAGGCGGUCCUUUAAGUCUGAUGUGAAAGCCCACGGCUUAACCGUGGCGUGUCAUUGGAAACUGAGGGACUUGAGUACAGAAGAGGAGAGUGGAAUUCCACGUGGAGCGGUGAAAUGCGUAGAUAUGUGGAGGAACACCAGUGGCGAAGGCGACUCUCUGGUCUGUAACUGACGCUGAGGUGCGAAAGCAUGGGUAGCGAACAGGAUUAGAUACCCUGGUAGUCC